AACAGGAUUAGAUACCCUGGUAGUCCACGCCGUAAACGAUGAGCACUAGGUGUCGGGGUCGCAAGACUUCGGUGCCGCAGUUAACGCAUUAAGUGCUCCGCCUGGGGAGUACGCACGCAAGUGUAAAACUCAAAGGAAUUGACGGGGACCCGCACAAGCAGCGGAGCAUGUGGUUUAAUUCGAAGCAACGCGAAGAACCUUACCAGGACUUGACAUCCUCUUGACAGAUCCUUAAUCGGAUUCUUCUUCGGACAAGAGAGACAGGUGGUGCAUGGUUGUCGUCAGCUCGUGUCGUGAGAUGUUGGGUUAAGUCCCGCAACGAGCGCAACCCUUGCCAUUAGUUGCCAUCAUUUAGUUGGGCACUCUAGUGGGACUGCCGGGGAAAACUCGGAGGAAGGUGGGGAUGACGUCAAAUCAUCAUGCCCCUUAUGUUCUGGGCUACACACGUGCUACAAUGGCCGGUACAACAGGCAGCGAACCCGUGAGGGGGAGCGAAUCCCAAAAGCCGGUCCCAGUUCGGACUGUAGGCUGCAACUCGCCUACACGAAGUUGGAGUUGCUAGUAAUCGCGGAUCAGAAUGCCGCGGUGAAUGCGUUCCCGGGUCUUGUACACACCGCCCGUCACACCAUGGAAGUUGGGGGUGCCCGAAGUCGGUUAGUUAAUCUAUCGCCUAAGGCAAAACCAAUGACUGGGGUGAAGUCGUAACAAGGUAACC
Molecule: ribosomal RNA, 715 nt
Filed under: uncultured bacterium
Lineage: Bacteria
Description: bacterial SSU rRNA
Rfam family: Bacterial small subunit ribosomal RNA
Source: RNAcentral